This 306-nucleotide ribosomal RNA is filed under the name uncultured bacterium. Its description in RNAcentral is "partial 16S ribosomal RNA". It matches the Rfam family "Bacterial small subunit ribosomal RNA", at positions 507 to 808 of the family's 1533-position model. The record is from RNAcentral.
GACAGCAGUAGCCGCGGGAAUACGUAGGUCCCGAGCGUUGUCCGGAUUUAUUGGGCGUAAAGCGAGCGCAGGCGGUUUGAUAAGUCUGAAGUUAAAGGCUGUGGCUCAACCAUAGUUCGCUUUGGAAACUGUCAAACUUGAGUGCAGAAGGGGAGAGAGGAAUUCCAUGUGUAGCGGUGAAAUGCGUAGAUAUAUGGAGGAACACCGGUGGCGAAAGCGGCUCUCUGGUCUGUAACUGACGCUGAGGCUCGAAAGCGUGGGGAGCGAACAGGAUUAGAUACCCGCGUAGUCCCUGUCUCUUAUACC